Molecule: ribosomal RNA, 471 nt
Filed under: uncultured organism
Description: partial 16S ribosomal RNA
Rfam family: Bacterial small subunit ribosomal RNA
Source: RNAcentral
ACUCCUGCGGGAGGCAGCAGUGGGGAAUUUUGGACAAUGGGCGAAAGCCUGAUCCAGCAAUGCCGCGUGCAGGAUGAAGGCCUUCGGGUUGUAAACUGCUUUCGUACGGAACGAAAAAGCUCCUUCUAAUACAGGGGGCCCAUGACGGUACCGUAAGAAUAAGCACCGGCUAACUACGUGCCAGCAGCCGCGGUAAUACGUAGGGUGCGAGCGUUAAUCGGAAUUACUGGGCGUAAAGCGUGCGCAGGCGGUUAUGUAAGACAGAUGUGAAAUCCCCGGGCUCAACCUGGGAACUGCAUUUGUGACUGCAUGGCUAGAGUACGGUAGAGGGGGAUGGAAUUCCGCGUGUAGCAGUGAAAUGCGUAGAUAUGCGGAGGAACACCGAUGGCGAAGGCAAUCCCCUGGACCUGUACUGACGCUCAUGCACGAAAGCGUGGGGAGCAAACAGGAUUAGAAACCCCUGUAGUCCCA